GCGGCACGUGACGUCACGCGCGGCGCGGCCAGGGACGCCGGGAGCGAAUUCUGUUUAGCAGCCCUCGUUAACUAAAGUCAUGGCAGCUGCUAGUAGUGAGGUGCACCAUCCUGUGGAUCCCAGAACCUCAAAGCUGCAGUUUGCUCCCUUCAGUAGUGCCUUGGAUGCAGGAUUCUGGCACGAACUAACCCAGAAGAAACUCAAUGAGUACCGAUUGGAUGAGACCCCAAAAGUCAUCAAAGGCUACUACUACAACGGUGAUCCUUUGGGUUUGCCAGCUCGCUUGACACUGGAGUUCAGCGCCUUUGAUACGAACGCUUCAAUACCAGCACGUUGCUGUCCUGCUUUUGGAACAUUGUAUAAUACCAACACUUUGGAGACUUUCAAAUCCUGUGAUAAGAAAUCCCUUUUGGAAAAAGAAGCAAAUGAGAUAUGGGAAUCGAUAAAAUCUGGAGCGGCUCUUGAAAACCCUCUGCUCUUGAACAGGUUCCUGCUGCUGACAUUCGCAGAUUUAAAAAAGUAUCAUUUCUAUUACUGGUUUUGCUACCCUGCUCUCUGCUUCCCCGAUGGAAUACAUUUAAUUCAGAAACCAGUGUGCCUUGGCGACAGAUUCUCAUUAAAUCAGAUUCGAGCUCUCCAGAAAGCCUAUGAUGAACUUUGCCAGAAAGAGGGGGUUACAGCCUUGCCUUACUUUUUAAUUAAGUAUCAUGACAAUUCUGUUGUGAUAUCUCUGCUGAAAAAGUGGGAUAGUUUCUUCCAAGAUCAAGGGGAAAAGGUAACGGUUGGAGUUUAUGAUCCAUGUAAUUUAUCCCACUAUCCGGGAUGGCCACUGAGAAAUUUCCUGAUCCUGGCAGCCCACAAAUGCAGGGGCAACGUUCUCCAGUCAGUUGAAGUGCUCUGCUUCAGAGACAGGACCAUGCAAGGGGUGAGAGACGUAACACACAGCAUUAUCUUUGAAAUAAAACUUCCUGAGGGAGCCCUUGGUCCAGAUUGUCCAAAAGCUGUUGGAUGGGAGAAAAACCAAAAGGGCGGCAUGGGUCCAAGGAUGCUGAAUCUCAGUGAAUGCAUGGAUCCAAAAAGGUUAGCAGAAUCAUCGGUGGAUCUUAAUUUGAAAUUGAUGUGCUGGCGGUUGGUGCCUACUCUGGAUUUGGAAAAAAUUGUGUCUGCUAAGUGUCUGCUGCUAGGAGCUGGUACACUGGGUUGUAGUGUUGCAAGGACCUUGAUGGGUUGGGGAGUCAGGAAGAUUACGUUUGUGGACAACGCCAAGAUCUCCUACUCCAACCCAGUACGACAGCCACUGUAUGAGUUUGAAGACUGUCUUAGCGGUGGGAAGCCAAAAGCACUCGCAGCAGCAGAAAGGCUGCAGAAAAUCUUCCCAGGAGUGAGUGCGGAAGGCUAUAAUAUGAGCAUCCCUAUGCCAGGCCACCCCGUGAAUUUCUCUGAAGUAACAAUGGCACAGGCUCGGAAGGAUGUAGCUAAACUUGAAGAGCUUAUUGAUGCUCAUGAUGUUGUUUUCCUACUAAUGGACACUAGAGAGAGUCGAUGGCUUCCUGCUGUCAUUGCAGCCAGCAAGAGAAAGUUGGUCAUCAAUGCUGCACUGGGAUUUGACACAUUUGUUGUUAUGAGACACGGACUAAAGAAACCAAAACAGCAAGAAUUUGAUGAUUCCUCUUUCAGCAGCAGCACUGGUUCUUCUGAUCUUUUGGGAUCAUCGCUUUUUUCCAAUAUCCCCGGCUAUAAAUUGGGUUGCUACUUCUGCAACGAUGUUGUGGCACCAGGGGAUUCCACCAGGGACCGGACAUUGGAUCAGCAGUGCACGGUCAGUCGGCCUGGAUUAGCCAUGGUAGCCGGAGCACUUGCGGUGGAGUUGAUGGUUUCUGUUCUACAACAUCCAGAAGGUGGUUAUGCUGUGGCCAGCAGUAGUGAUGACAGAAUGAAUGAACCGCCUACUUCUCUUGGACUUGUUCCCCAUCAGAUCCGUGGAUUUUUAUCAAGAUUUGAUAAUGUUCUUCCCGUCAGCCUGGCAUUUGAUAAGUGCACAGCCUGCUCAACCAAGGUCCUUGACCAAUAUGAACGAGAGGGGUUUCAUUUCCUAGCUAAAGUUUUUAAUUCUUCACAUUCCUUCUUAGAAGACUUGACAGGUCUAACUUUGUUACACCAGGAGACACAGGCUGCUGAGAUCUGGGACAUGAGUGAUGAUGAAACAGUCUGAAAAUGAGCUGAAUAAGGUGGACGAUGACCUACUUUGGACUGGAGCACUGCCUUUUAUCUGUUAUUUGACAAGUUAAUGAUUGCUUACCCGUUCUGACUGCUACAAAUACAAACAAAUAAUGCACGUUACUAUCUUCACCUUAAAAGCAGUCUGUUAUGGAAAUAACUGUCUACAUUUCCUUUUUUUAUAAUAUAAAAAACUAGAGCAAUGUGGUUAUAUUUAAACUUUAUCUUCCUUUUCCCCCUUUUUUUUUCUAGUUUCUAAAUAUGACUUACCUAUAAAAUAUGCUCCUUAAGUAAACUUUGGUGUUUCGUUUGUCCCAGAUUUCAUUUUGCUUGUCUAUGGACAUGUCCAAGUAGCGUGUCUAAAUGUCUUUUCAUCUCUCCCAGAUUUGUGCCCCUUUAGUUGGAAUGUAUUGUUGAGAUGGAGAAUAUUCUGCUCUUGGGACUUCUUUCAAGGAGAGCAGGAGGAGGAAAAAACUUACACCUACUGCCUAUGCGACGUUGCUCGGUGUUUCAGAGUUCAUGUUAUUUCUAGCACAAUUGAUUCCCUUUUCUUUGUUAUAGUGUGAUUGUUCUUUGGAGGUGUUAUUCUCUGUAGAGAUCUCAUAAUUUCACGCUAUGGAAAAAAAGCGGUUUGACUUGCAUUUACACAGGAAGGACCAAAGCGUGUUCAUACGGUCAUUAGAGUCCUCUGAAGUUCAGAGAAGGCUCUGUUACCGAGUAGAAGUUGCGGGGGGCGGGGAUCAUUGAUUCUGUCAAAAGUUGUAGGAGAAAUGCUUAACAGAAAUAAGAAAUGGGUUCUCUAGCUUUGCUGUUCUUGGAUGGUGCCGUGCAAUACUUCACAGCUGUUAAAAAAGAGCAGUUCUAAUUUUCAUGUUGGUUGGAUUGUAAGUUUUUCAAUUUUUGCGGCAUCGGGAAUGGCUUCCAGGAUUGUGGCUGAGCUCAAACAGUAGUUUGAGAACCCUCGAAUGUAAAGGAGAACUCAAGAAAAAAGUAUUUGUAAACUAUCAAAGUACAUUACUGCAAAAUUGAAAGUGAAUCUUUUGGGGUUUUAUCUUGGAAUAGAUUUUAAAAGUAUAUUUGAAAUCCCUUUUAUGGCUUUAUAUUGUGGGGAUUAUGGACUGACUUGCUCAGAAAAAAUGCAAAUUGCUUUAUCUGCCAAGCAGUCCUCAUUUCUCAUAUAUAUGAUGAAAAUUAGUUGGUCAAUCCAAUUAUUUUAGUUCCUUCCUUAACGUAAGCUCUGAAUAUUUGGUGUAGAUAAUUUCACGGCUUCUCUUUUAUGCUCCGCUAGAAGAAGUUCUGUCAGGUCUGAUUUGCCAAAAAUCAAGAAUAUCUGCAACUCCCAUACUCUGAUCGUACAAGAAGACCUACUGAAACACACUGAGGUUUGCAUCAGUGUCUAAAAUUGCUGUUGUUUCUAUUUCUUUUGACUGCCACGUUCGUUGUACUUAGGUGAUUUCUUAAGUAGCCUUAAGGGAAUGUCUUGUUUAGCCGACUUCAUUGUAAUAUAAAAAUGUAUAUGAAUUAAUAAUAUUUUUUGAAAGACUAGUAAUCAUAGGAAACUGAUCUUUGGGUGGUCAGGCAAUGAAUGAUAAGAUUGAUGAUAUGCUAUAUCCCUUUUAAAGCAAUUUUUUAAUGUACAUCAUUAGUUAUGACCUCACAUGACUUCCAUUUUGUUAGCCAUACCAUGGUCCAGCCGGAGUCGUGAGUCCGUACUGGGGUGAUUUAAAGGCAGUGAUCUGCAUUUUUAUCUUUUGGAGUUGUAGAAGUGUCUUGGCCAUUUGUGGUUAUCUACAACUUGAAAACUAAACAUCUUUCUGAAAUCUGAUAUGCAUUGAUAAUGAUUUUAAAUAUCCGAGACUCUGUUUAUCCUGUGAAAGGUACGGUGGAAGUAUCUUCCCAACUGCAGAAGCGUGCAAGAUCCAAAGGUUCAAAACUCAGGGUUAAUGUAACGUUUCCUUACCUCUGUAAUUUCAGUAACGUACAUCUCUCUCCGACUGAGCUGUUUCCUGUACAUAUGCUUCCCAGAUGUCUCUGAUGUUCAGAAACACUUCAGUUUGACUUGGAAUAACUUCCGUUGUCUAACUAUAAUGUUUUCUUUCUCCUUGCAGAAAAGAAUUGUUCUUCUUUCGCUUUUACUCAAUUUCUAGGCAUUUGCUGAGUGAGAAUUUAUGAGAAUCCAUUCAAAUGAAUGAAUGCACAUUCAAAUACUAUUAACAGGCAAACACGUUUAUUUACUGGCUUGUAUGCACUUAACGGCAGGAUUUCAGCGUGGUCCCCAGCUCCAUUUAUUGCUGUUUAGUAGAAGAAGCUAAACUUUACCUUUCUUCUUAAAGGAGGUAGGGCUUGAAUUUUAUUUGUGCUGCUGUGACCUCCUAGGUCUCAGUGAAGAGCCCAAACUCAUUCUCACAUUGUAGAGCCCAACAUGUACCAUGGCUUUUCAGGUAUAAAACAGACCUGUUGGAAAGAGGGACCGAACAGCCUCAGAGGAACCUACUCAUCUUCCUGAACUAUCUAACACACAGGGUAGAUAUGAAGGGGCGGAAGAAAAUGAGUUGUGCCAGAAGAGAGGUGCCUGGAAGAGAGCCGGGGCAGACAUCGACAAAGAGAUUGGCGUCCUGUUUGAGGCUUUAGGAGCAAUGGAUCAAGGACGCUCCAGUUUGGGAGCUUUCCAGUGUGAGAUUCCUGGGGCAGGUACGAGAGCCACUUGGAAGGAGAGACUGACAACUAAGUGACAAAAGGUUACCGUCACAAUAAAGACAACCUUCACAACAGAGGAUGACUAUAUUUUUAGCAGCUCUGAGUAGUGAGAAGAAGUGGUCAUCCUCCUUGAUUAGAUAUUUGUUCCAGCUUGCUAACUUCAGGUUGUUGGCACCACAGUGAGGUCGCUGGUGAGGCUGGCUGGCGCUUCCAGGCGUGCCAGGAGGGAGCAGGGGCUUUCGUCAGGCACCGAUGACGUGUUUGUGCCACAGAGGUGGCCUCUCCACAGCAGGCCUGGCUCUACCACGGGAAUUAGCCAUGGGCAGAGGGACACCGACCACUGCAGCAACUCUGUGUCCCGGUGGCAAGGUGGGAGGCCAAGGCCGUAUCCAUAACUGCUUGUGUGUCAGCAGCAUCCAGAGGGACGCUGUUGUGAGAUGGCAUUGUCCACUUCUAGCACCGGAGGAAGGAGCAGUGUGGGAGGAGCUUGUGCUGGGAAUGGUCUGGCGUUCCGGCAGGUCCCGCUGUGCCUCUUUUCAGGCGUUCUCCCUGGACUCACUCAAAGCGGGUGUUUCUGCAGAGCUGCCGCUCUUUGUUUCUCUUUGAGAAAUAACCGGGCAGUGACGGCAUCUCCCUGGGACAGUGGUUGGAUAGGAUUAAGCUCGAACGUGCUCAGGAAAUUCACUCCAGUGAAGCCCUUCAGGGAUAAAGCGUGCUUCGACACCCACGACGCGACACAGCUGUGUCGUAACUUUGCUAAGGGAAGAGAGCUGGCGGCCCCCUUCAGCCGCCGGGUGUACCGUACUUGCAUCUGCGCCCGUGCCAGAUGAGAUGGAAGCUUCUGUACAUCAGGAAGACACAGACCGGUUUCUUGUUUCGCUGUUCCUCAAGAAGGCUCUAAAGAUAGCGGUGAAUGUUUCCCUCAGCCAAGCGUAAGCGUGCCAGCUCUGGAGAGCGGAGCUCUUUGACACACAUGAUGUCUGAAAUACUGCUGUGUCUGCCCGGGGAUCCCAUUAAGCAGCACGAGGAACUGGCGCAGCGUUGGAACACUGGAGAGGGCUUCGUGCACACAGCUACUGUGGAUCGCCUCUCUCAUUCAGUCAGUGGUUAAUACCGCAUAAGCUGUGAGGUCUCCUAACUCUGCUUUUGUGCAAAGACUUCUGAGCAAGGCUGGAAGGCAAUUUUACAUCUUUUUGCAGCGGCCCGCGUUGGACCCCCAGGACCAGCCGGCUUCGUUCCCACCCCAGCAGCCCCCCGCACUGCUCUGGGGG
Molecule: RNA transcript, 6185 nt
Organism: Cuculus canorus (common cuckoo)
Lineage: Eukaryota; Metazoa; Chordata; Aves; Cuculiformes; Cuculidae
Gene: ATG7
Gene name: autophagy related 7
Exons: 25
Source: RefSeq, a predicted model, not a curated record